UAGCUCAGUUGGAUAGAGUACAGGUUUCCGAAGCCUGGGGUCGUGGGUUCGAUCCCCGC
RNAcentral lists this transfer RNA (59 nucleotides) under Acinetobacter baumannii. RNAcentral describes it as "tRNA-Arg". It matches the Rfam family "tRNA", at positions 8 to 63 of the family's 71-position model. Rfam says of the family: Transfer RNA (tRNA) molecules are approximately 80 nucleotides in length. Their secondary structure includes four short double-helical elements and three loops (D, anti-codon, and T loops). The record is from RNAcentral. Lineage: Bacteria; Pseudomonadati; Pseudomonadota; Gammaproteobacteria; Moraxellales; Moraxellaceae.